RNAcentral lists this ribosomal RNA (510 nucleotides) under uncultured bacterium. RNAcentral describes it as "bacterial SSU rRNA". It matches the Rfam family "Bacterial small subunit ribosomal RNA", at positions 8 to 518 of the family's 1533-position model. The record is from RNAcentral.
AGGGUUCGAUUCUGGCUCAGGAUGAACGCUGGCGGCGUGCUUAACACAUGCAAGUCGAACGGAGUUUUUAAACGGAAGUUUUCGGAUGGAAGUUUAGAAACUUAGUGGCGGACGGGUGAGUAACGCGUGGGUAACCUGCCUCAUACAGGGGGAUAACAGUUAGAAAUGACUGCUAACACCGCAUAAUAUAGCGAAACCGCAUGAUUUUGCUAUCAAAUAUUUAUAGGUAUGAGAUGGGCCCGCGUCUGAUUAGCUAGUUGGUGGGGUAAAAGCCUACCAAGGCGACGAUCAGUAGCCGGCUUGAGAGAGUGACCGGCCACAUUGGGACUGAGACACGGCCCAAACUCCUACGGGAGGCAGCAGUGGGGAAUAUUGGACAAUGGGGGAAACCCUGAUCCAGCCGACGCCGCGUGAGUGAAGAAGUAUUUCGGUAUGUAAAGCUCUAUCAGCAGGGAAGAUAAUGACAGUACCUGACUAAGAAGCCCCGGCUAACUACGUGCCAGCCGCGGC